CGCGUAGGCGGGCUAUUAAGUUGGGGGUGAAAUCCCGAGGCUCAACCUCGGAACUGCCUCCAAAACUGGUAGCCUGGAGGUAUGGAGAGGGAAGUGGAAUUCCUGGUGUAGCGGUGAAAUGCGUAGAUAUCAGGAGGAACACCUGUGGCGAAGGCGGCUUCCUGGCCAUAUCCUGACGCUGAGGUGCGAAAGCCAGGGGAGCGAACGG
This 208-nucleotide ribosomal RNA is filed under the name uncultured Armatimonadota bacterium. Its description in RNAcentral is "uncultured Armatimonadetes bacterium partial 16S ribosomal RNA". It matches the Rfam family "Bacterial small subunit ribosomal RNA", at positions 568 to 775 of the family's 1533-position model. The record is from RNAcentral. Lineage: Bacteria; Bacillati; Armatimonadota.